Non-coding RNA from Chiloscyllium plagiosum (whitespotted bambooshark), 572 nucleotides. The record is from RefSeq and is a predicted model, not a curated record. NCBI's taxonomy places the organism in Eukaryota, Metazoa, Chordata, Chondrichthyes, Orectolobiformes, Hemiscylliidae.
GCCAGCUACGGAGUGUGUCUGAAUGGCUGCAUCUUAAUUCCUACACAAUACCAGAAUGGUUCAUAGGACUUUUCUGCAGCUGUGAUCCACAAGAGGAAGUCCUUUGAAGAGGUGAAGAAGAGACUAAGGGAUCUGGAUAUUCAAUAUUCCAUCAGACCGACAAAGAUGAUGAACUAUCGAGCCGUAUUCAAAACAGGUGGUGUGUACACUGUCUUGUAAAUUGACUUCAAGAACAGGUCAGAGGCUGGGAAUCCUGCAAUGCCUAACUUACCUUGUGACUCCCAAAAGCCUGUCCACUAUCCACAAGGCACAUGUCAGGAGUGUGAUUGAAUACUUCCACUUUUCUGGGUGAGUACAGUGCUAACGACACUCAAGAAGCUUGACAUCUUCCAGGACAAAGCAGCCUGCUCAAUUGGCUCCACAUCUGCAAACAUUCACUCCUAUACCACCAACACUUAGUAGUAGCAGUGUGUGCCAUCUACAAGAUGCUGUGCAAGAAUUUGCCAAGGCUGCUUAUACAGCACCUUCUAAAUUUGCAACCAAUUCCAUCUCAAAAGACAAAGGCAGCAAAU